This 301-nucleotide ribosomal RNA is filed under the name uncultured bacterium. RNAcentral describes it as "partial 16S ribosomal RNA". It matches the Rfam family "Bacterial small subunit ribosomal RNA", at positions 509 to 808 of the family's 1533-position model. The record is from RNAcentral.
CAGCAGCGCGGUAAUACGAAGGGGGCUAGCGUUGUUCGGAUUUACUGGGCGUAAAGCGCACGUAGGCGGAUCGAUCAGUCAGAGGUGAAAUCCCAGAGCUCAACUCUGGAACUGCCUUUGAUACUGUCGAUCUGGAGUAUGGAAGAGGUGAGUGGAAUUCCGAGUGUAGAGGUGAAAUUCGUAGAUAUUCGGAGGAACACCAGUGGCGAAGGCGGCUCACUGGUCCAUUACUGACGCUGAGGUGCGAAAGCGUGGGGAGCAAACAGGAUUAGAUACCCGUGUAGUCCCUGUCUCUUAUACC